CCGUGCUAAGGUAGCAUAAUCCCUUGCCUCUUAAUUAGUGGCUUGCAUGAAUGGAUAAACGAAAGUUAAAUUGUCUCCAUAAUUAAAAUAAAAAUUAUCCUCUAAGUGAAGAGCCUUAGAUAAAAAUAAAAGACAAGAAGACCCUGCAGAGCCUUAGUUCAAAAUAAAAUAAAAAAAUACUAUUAAACUACCCUCUUUAUUCACACUCCAGUUGGGGCGACUCAGGAAAACCAAAAUCUUCCUUCUUUACACCCAGACCCAUCCGUCUUAUAAAAGACCCAUAACCCAUGACUAAUAAAAAGGCUACCUCAGGGAUAACAGUCUUAUCUUUCUCAAGAGUUCACAUUGACAGAAAGGAUUGGCACCUCGAUGUUGGCUUAGGAAGUAAUCAGGGCGCAGCCACCCUAAUUAAAGGUUUGUUCAACCUAUAGUAUCCUACGUGAUC
RNAcentral lists this ribosomal RNA (445 nucleotides) under Aricidea minuta. Its description in RNAcentral is "partial large subunit ribosomal RNA". It matches the Rfam family "Bacterial large subunit ribosomal RNA", at positions 1946 to 2605 of the family's 2925-position model. Lineage: Eukaryota; Metazoa; Annelida; Polychaeta; Paraonidae. The record is from RNAcentral.